This 87-nucleotide transfer RNA is filed under the name Nitrospirota bacterium. RNAcentral's name for it is "tRNA-Leu". It matches the Rfam family "tRNA". From Rfam's summary of the family: Transfer RNA (tRNA) molecules are approximately 80 nucleotides in length. Their secondary structure includes four short double-helical elements and three loops (D, anti-codon, and T loops). RNAcentral also lists the same sequence under 2 other names. The record is from RNAcentral. Lineage: Bacteria; Pseudomonadati; Nitrospirota.
GCCGAAGUGGCGGAACUGGCAGACGCACUAGAUUCAGGGUCUAGCGCUCGCAAGGGCGUGCGGGUUCAAAUCCCGCCUUCGGCACCA